Small nucleolar RNA from Gastrolobium bilobum, 154 nucleotides. RefSeq annotates it as small nucleolar RNA snoR145. The transcript has a single exon. Lineage: Eukaryota; Viridiplantae; Streptophyta; Magnoliopsida; Fabales; Fabaceae. The record is from RefSeq and is a predicted model, not a curated record.
AUGCGAAGAUCCCAGCAGAGUGGCGAGUACUCUUGUUGUUGAGGCCACUCUAACAAUGUAUUUCAAUACCCUUCGCAGAGUUAUUAGCCGAAUCGUAGGAUGCCCAAAUUAGUGUUUGAUUUUUGGUGCAUCUAGAACCCUCGGCUAUAUUCCA